GCCGGCCCCCGGCGGCGGUCGCCGCGGGGUCGAGGUGGGCGCGCGGCUGGGCCUGGGAGGCGCGGCCUGGCACAGCGCCACCGCGCGCCGGGGACCCGGCGGGGACUGCGAGUGACGGCACAGCCUCCGGCCUGGCGCGGAGCUCCAUUCGGUCCCUGCCAGCAGCCGGCUGUGCUGUCGGCCCCGGGGCGCGCUCCAGAAGCAGAAAGUUCCAGGGCCACCCAGAUGCUCCCGGGGCUCCUCGGACUUGGUCUCUCCGCUGUCCCGAGGGCCCCGGAGACCCCUUCCAGUCCUCAGCCCCUCGGUGUGCCGAGCCUGGUCCGCGCACCCCUGGGCCCGCGCUGUCAGGUCCUCGAACCGUGCUUGACGUUGCCCUUGACCCAUGGCAGAGCUAGAGCCACGAAGGAUUCGGUUUUGGCGACAUCUCAGAGAUCGUCCAAUGCUUUCAAAAGGGCAGCUGGGCAACCCACAGCGGUUACGCGACUUGCUCGGCGUCCUGGAAGUUCAAGAUGGGGAAACUGAGGCUUGGAAAGCUUAACAUCAUCUGUCCAAAGGCCACCCAAGUUGAAGCCGCUCUUGGGGAAUUCAGACCAUUUCUGCUGUUCAGGGCCACGUGAGGGUCCCCAGAUUCCUCAACAGUGAUGCUGCCUUCACACCUUCUUUUGUACUUUUCCCACCACUUCUGGAAACGCACUUAAAUAAGCUGGAGCUGCACCGAGACUUUAUCAGAAGAAAGAGGAGCAGCUCGUGGAGCAUAAGGGAUCACAGGCGAGAUUGGAACGGGACGCUGUAAAGCCUGGAACUGGACUCGGUAAGGACUGGAACUGGAUGCUGUAAAGGCUUGAACUGGACGCUAUAAAGCCUGGAACUGGACUCUCUAAAGCUAUCAGCAACCGAAGCAUCUACUCGUUCUGUCUCUUACUGCGAGAUGUAGAGUUUCUGCUGAUUAUCGUGAGUCUGCUCCCUCUUCUCUCACUUUCUGUAGCUCUGCUUAGUUCACUUUAUCCACAUGGCAGAAGUGUCCACCUCAUCUAUAAGGCCUACCAGACCAAGAACUCAAGGAAAGCUUGAUCGGCCUGAGUUCUAAUUUCAUAUUCACAGAAAAGAGUAUGUGCAAAACUUUCGUCAGGCAUCCACAUCUGGUCCAGUUAGCUGUGGUCAUGCAGGCGGGGCACAUGGCCUGUUGGCCGCUCAGCAAGGCUGACUCUCAGAGACACAGCUGCAGGCAGGCAAGGUUGGAAAGGCCUCCGCUACUCCUAGUUUUCUAGGAAAUAUUGUGUUUCAGGAUUAAUCAAGGGGAAUUCCUUGGGCUUGGAAUUUGAUGGCCUAUUAAAUACCACAAAAUUCUUACUUGAUUUUCUGAUUAUGUUUUUAUCUUGAUGGCCAUCUUUUUAUAAAUUUUCUUAAAAUAUGUUUGUAAUUGAACCCGAUCCUUCUACUCUGUUUUGAAGAAAGCAGAGUAUAGUCUUUAUUCUUAUCAUAGAUAUUGUCUCCAGGAACUUUCCCAUAUUUCUGGGUAUAGACAAUAUAAGUUGAUAUCCUUGUGGGUAAUGUGGACCUUUUAUUCAUGGGCAACUUUUGCAAAGAGGCUCCAAAGGUGAGAAAUGCAAGUGGAAGGGAAAAUUCAGCUGAAAGAAUGGAGGAUGGAGAAUUCAUGAGGACCAAAGUCAGAAGGAUACGAAGAAUGUAAAAUCUGCAAGUGUAUUUAGCCAAGCCACAUGGAGGGAAUUGUUUUAACCACUGAACUUUGAUCAGAUUCCCCAAAACAGGCAUUUCUCCUCACUUUCUUUCUUUCCUUCUCUUUAUGUCCCUCUCUCCUCUGAUUUUCUUGAAGUGUUAAGAGAAUGUUGCUAGUUCCUUUCUUAACUUCUUUAUGGAGCUAAUUACAAAAACAGAAAUAAGAGGAAAGUACACUUUGACCAUUUGUUAAAAAAAAAAAUUAUGGUUUAUACAAAUAGCUGGAGUUUUCCAGAUAUGGAAUAGACCUUUCCAGUGCCUUGGUGAAUCCAUUUGCAGAAAGAUUCGAGGAAAGCUCUAAAUACAGUCAGUGCUAGUUCUUGCAGGAGGUGUGGGAGUUUGUUUCUCUACAUCUCCAACAAGGGUGGGUGCCUUCGGGAAGUUGCCUCAAUAAUGAGAUUUGAGCACACUUUCUGAUGGACUUUAUUCCCCCGAUAGGGCAUGAGUUUGAUAGACGUCUUCUCUAUCACAUGUUGUUUCCCUUCCAAGAAAGCAUGAGUUAUCUGGACUUUUUUCCCCUAAAUUACAUGGAAAGAUAGAAAAGAGGGAGGGAGGAAGCAGAGAGGGAAAAGAGAGUAUUUUAAAAGCUAAAACCAACAUCAAACCUUACUAAGGCAGAGGUUGAUUGUUAAAUAAAAUAACGCCAUUAAUGGGUAGUCAGAGUGGUUCUAAACAGAGCAACACGUGUGAAUUUUGCACGUCUCUAAACCACAUUUAAUAGUGCUUGUAGACAAAAAAUACAAUCACAAGUCAAGUCUAUGCUAAAGAAAGCAUUAAAGAUCAUUAGGAUACAUUUAAUAUUAAAAGACUUUGCUUCUGUCUUAAAAAUGUUCUGUGACUUUGUCUUUUCUACAAUUCUGUUGGAACGUUUCUCCACUCACUCUGGUCAUUCCAAUUGCAUGAACCUAUUCUCUAUUUCCUAUACAAAGCUGCUGUCCUUUUGACAAUUUCAUUGUUGUAUAAAAUGAUAACACAAAAGUAGGUUUUUUCCCAUAAUUUCAGCGUUGCCAAUUAUCUGGAUCAUCCAAACAGUGCCGACACAUUUUGUUCCGACUCUAAUUUGACAGAGGACAUAGCCAAAGGGAAAGAUUUAUCUCAUUCUACGCUCAAACCUUUCCCUGUUUUGCGUGAACAGCUGAUUAUAGAGAUCAGGAAUUUCAUUCUAUUGACUAAUAACCAAACAGAAUUCCCUGUGCUAAGUGCUGUGGCUGCAUCUUGCCUAAAGACCUGGGGGAAAAGUCUGUCCUCCUUGUAACAUUUUCUGAUAAGCACCCCAGCUGGACGGCAUCUGUGAAGGGUUCUCUAAGGCAUAUUUCCACUAGUCAGAUGCUAUGCAUCUUGUUUAUGGGAAAAUAAAACUUGAUUCCCAUUUUUGGAGUCAACUAAAUGGAUUCUUACUAAGUCUCCAUUUGGGAGAAGGAGGCCAUCCAUUAAAAUAUCUAUAUCUGGAAUCUCGUAUUCAAAGAAUAUUUAAUUAUUUGGAAAUAGUCAUAAUAUAAAUGUUUGGUUAAAAAGUAUCAGUAUGCUAAGCUGUAGCCGUAGUUUAAUCUCAAAAACAUCUCUUACUGGAUCCUGAAAAUGCUUUAUUUGGAAGCAAAGGUGUUUAUUUCAUAAUUCCUCCUAUGCCUUAAAUGUAAAUCUCAGAGAAAUAGAGCUUAUCAGCUGAUCACACUGGAUGCUGGCAGAUGGUGUCCUUUCCUGAGCACACAUUGUGAUAACAGGAUGACAGUAUGAAGUCUGAGUGUCUGGAGGUGGGAGGGAAAAGACAGAGGGAGGGGAAUUGUC
Molecule: long non-coding RNA, 3522 nt
Organism: Equus asinus (donkey)
Lineage: Eukaryota; Metazoa; Chordata; Mammalia; Perissodactyla; Equidae
Source: Ensembl